This 378-nucleotide ribosomal RNA is filed under the name uncultured bacterium. Its description in RNAcentral is "bacterial SSU rRNA". It matches the Rfam family "Bacterial small subunit ribosomal RNA", at positions 28 to 406 of the family's 1533-position model. The record is from RNAcentral.
AUUGAACGCUGGCGGAAUGCUUUACACAUGCAAGUCGAGCGGCAGCGCGGGGCAACCUGGCGGCGAGCGGCGAACGGGUGAGUAAUGCAUCGGAACAUGUCCAUUCGUGGGGGAUAGCCCGGCGAAAGCCGGAUUAAUACCGCAUACGCCCCGAGGGGGAAAGCGGGGACCUCGCGAGAGGCCUCGCGCGAAUGGGUUGGCCGAUGUCCGAUUAGCUAGUUGGUGAGGAAAGGCUCACCAAGGCGAUGAUCGGUAGCUGGUCUGAGAGGAUGAUCAGCCACACUGGGACUGAGACACGGCCCAGACUCCUACGGGAGGCAGCAGGUGGGGAAUUUUGGACAAGUGGGGAAACCCGUGAUCCAGCCAUUCCGCGUGAGU